UGCACUCACUACUGUAAGUCGCUCUGGAUAAGAGCAUCUUUUAAAUGACUAAAA
Molecule: non-coding RNA, 54 nt
Organism: Salmo salar (Atlantic salmon)
Lineage: Eukaryota; Metazoa; Chordata; Actinopteri; Salmoniformes; Salmonidae
Source: Rfam